RNAcentral lists this unclassified non-coding RNA (375 nucleotides) under uncultured bacterium. Its description in RNAcentral is "contains 16S-23S intergenic spacer region". The record is from RNAcentral.
UCGCGGCUUAUCACCGGCAGUCUCCUUAGAGUGCUCAACUAAAUGGUAGCAACUAAGGACGGGGGUUGCGCUCGUUGCGGGACUUAACCCAACAUCUCACGACACGAGCUGACGACAGCCAUGCAGCAUCUGUGACCCACCCUCGAAGGCGACCGCCUUUCAGCGGCUUGCAGGGUCAUGUCAAACCUGGGUAUGGUUCUGCGCGUUGCGUCGAAUUAAACCACACGCUCCGCUGCUUGUGCGGGCCCCCGUCAAUUCCUUUGAGUUUCAGCCUUGCGGCCGUACUCCCCAGGCGGAGUGCUUAUUGCGUUAGCGACAGCACCGAGGGUUGGUCACCCCCGACACUUAGCACUCAUCGUUUACGGCGUGGACUAC